Molecule: ribosomal RNA, 559 nt
Filed under: uncultured bacterium
Lineage: Bacteria
Description: partial 16S ribosomal RNA
Rfam family: Bacterial small subunit ribosomal RNA
Source: RNAcentral
UGGGGAAUUUUGGACAAUGGGCGAAAGCCUGAUCCAGCAAUGCCGCGUGUGUGAAGAAGGCCUUCGGGUUGUAAAGCACUUUUGUCCGGAAAGAAAUCCUUGGCUCUAAUACAGUCGGGGGAUGACGGUACCGGAAGAAUAAGCACCGGCUAACUACGUGCCAGCAGCCGCGGUAAUACGUAGGGUGCAAGCGUUAAUCGGAAUUACUGGGCGUAAAGCGUGCGCAGGCGGUUUGCUAAGACCGAUGUGAAAUCCCCGGGCUCAACCUGGGAACUGCAUUGGUGACUGGCAGGCUAGAGUAUGGCAGAGGGGGGUAGAAUUCCACGUGUAGCAGUGAAAUGCGUAGAGAUGUGGAGGAAUACCGAUGGCGAAGGCAGCCCCCUGGGCCAAUACUGACGCUCGUGCACGAAAGCGUGGGGAGCAAACAGGAUUAGAUACCCUGGUAGUCCACGCCCUAAACGAUGUCAACUAGUUGUUGGGGAUUCAUUUCCUUAGUAACGUAGCUAACGCGUGAAGUUGACCGCCUGGGGAGUACGGUCGCAAGAUUAAAACUUAAAUG